Ictalurus punctatus (channel catfish) is the source of this 2191-nucleotide long non-coding RNA. The record is from Ensembl. Lineage: Eukaryota; Metazoa; Chordata; Actinopteri; Siluriformes; Ictaluridae.
AUUAUUAUUAUUAUUAUUAUUAUUAUUAUUAUUAUUAUUAUUGUUUUGUUUUGUUUUUUUGCUCUUACCUGUUUCACGCUAUCGUGAGCUGUGAGCGAGCUUCAGCUUGAACUUUUCCCUGUUGGACAGUGCAAGUUUGCAUUUUUUGACAUAUUUUAUAUUUUAUUUAUUGAGUAGAAGCUUUUUAUCCACAGCAGAGCGGUUUUCGGUUCCCAUGGUAAUUCUAAUGCCUGACUAUUUUCCCCAUUUAAUCCUCAAUAGGAUGAAAUAUUGCAGCAAUUUCUCAAUGAAUGCAUUUAUUCCUUCUGUGUAUGCGUUUAUCUGGAGUCACUAUGAAGUGAAAAAUCCAAUCCGAACAUUAUAAACUAUGGGUUUUUGGGUUUUUUUUUUUUGUUUUUUUUUUAAAAAGGAUUUCAUUCUUUCAACGGAAUUGCACAUUCAAAGUGUCAAAAUCUGAACAAGUUUAAAAAAUGUUUCUAUGAGUGUAUGUUGAAAGUGUUAUUGCAUCAUAAAAAAGACGGGCCAAUCGGUUUUCAGUAUGCAAAUGCACUCCAGAGAGCACUAGUGGAGGAUUUUGGAGGAUUUGUCUUUUUCUGUAAAAUCAGGAUUUUUUGGUUGUACGUAAAAUUGUGUGUGUUUUUCAUCUUGAUUAUGUUUUUUGUUUUUCUUGAACUGGAUUGUGGAAAAAUUGAUGAUGUAAUGCAAAGAAAAUGUAUUUACUUCAAAGCAAAUUUAAAUAUUAGGAUUGGUGAAAUUCAGUCUGUUUUCUGUAAAGUGAACCUAAACAUUAUCAAAUAUGUUUAUUAUUUGAUUUUUUUUUUUUUUUCUCUCAUUAUUUUUGGAAACUUUCUCAGGCUCCAUUCUUUUUAAGAAGCUGGAAAAAAAUCUCACUUUUACAUCAUAAAUUAGAAGGGUCAAUCAGGUUCCAGUAUGCAAAUGCGCUCCAGGGAACACUAGUGCACCAGAGAAUGGCGUUAGAGCGUGUAAGAUCUGGGACAUUUACAUAUUCGAAUCAUAUUCAUAUUAAAAAUCAGGAUUUUUAUUUGAAAUUAAUGUAAAAUAGACGGUGCUUUUCAUUGACAGUUUUUUUUUCCCCAUGAAAUGCCAUAUGGAUGAAUCGAUUGAUAGAAAAAACAAACAAAAAUUUUCUACAAAACAGCAUUGAAACGUGAGGACUGGCGAUACGUGUUUGGACUCUUACAAAUACAACCUACCUGUUCAAAAACGGCAAACUUGCAAUAAUACUAUUAAUGCCAAAAUAGAAGAAUAUACAGUAUAACCCUGCUUAUUGUAUCAACGGUAACAGCACGGAUAAACCGAGCACACCUAGGUGGACAUAAAUCGACGUGCUGAGGGUGUUUCUAAUUUUGUGGAUCCUUUCUCUCUCAACUGGUGUCAAUUAUUUCAUCAACCACCUGCGCAUCCUUUUCAAAAACGCUCUUCUCUUUUUAAAAAUACUGACAAAUACUGUAAGUGUGUGCGUUUGAAGCCCCAAUCAGGAUAGCGGGAGAAUCACUGCGCCAUAUGUUUUCCACAUUUCAGACAAACCCGUGCUCCAUUUCUAUUCAGUUCCAUGCAGCUCGAGCAUCUUUGUGCAUACGCAUCCUGACUGGGACUGUAACUGAAAAAAAAAUAAUGCAUUUUCACUCUAACGUUUGUGUAUUUAUACGUAGUAAUGUGCUGAAACCACACUUCUAUUCUCUCUCUCUCUCUCUCUCUCUCUCUCUCACUCUUUUUUUCUUUUAUUUUCUUAGUGUUUUUCUCUGGAAGAGUGUAAUUGUAAAAACGUGUUCUGUCCUUUCUAGCUACAAUCAGCAUCAGUAUUGUUUAGACGGCGGUUAUUCAGAAACACUUAGAGGUCAAGCUACGAAACGAUGAAGCUGAAGACAGAAAUAGUAUUUAUUUAAAUAAUGUCAGAUACAGAGGUGAUAUAAUACGGAAAUACUUCAUUUACGUAAAAAAAAAAAAAGAAAAGAAAAAGAAAAAUCUUUUGUGCUUGUCCACAUUAUCUGACUGCAAAGUGCUUUAUUUCUUAUCAAAAUGUGAAAUAAAGAAAUGAAAUUAUAACAAGGAUGGCAAUUCAUUUUUAUUUUUUUCCCCCAAAAGCCUGUGCUGCAGACAAACACGACAGCAUUGAAGGAGAAGGGAGUGCCAGACUGUGUGUGUGUGUGUGUGUGUGUGUGUGUGUGUG